Molecule: ribosomal RNA, 460 nt
Filed under: uncultured bacterium
Lineage: Bacteria
Description: partial 16S ribosomal RNA
Rfam family: Bacterial small subunit ribosomal RNA
Source: RNAcentral
CCUACGGGGGGCAGCAGUGAGGAAUAUUGGUCAAUGGACGAGAGUCUGAACCAGCCAAGUAGCGUGAAGGAUGACUGCCCUAUGGGUUGUAAACUUCUUUUAUAUGGGAAUAAAACGUUCCACGUGUGGGAUUUUGUAUGUACCAUAUGAAUAAGGAUCGGCUAACUCCGUGCCAGCAGCCGCGGUAAUACGGAGGAUCCGAGCGUUAUCCGGAUUUAUUGGGUUUAAAGGGAGCGUAGGUGGAUUGUUAAGUCAGUUGUGAAAGUUUGCGGCUCAACCGUAAAAUUGCAGUUGAAACUGGCAGUCUUGAGUACAGUAGAGGUGAGCGGAAUUCGUGGUGUAGCGGUGAAAUGCUUAGAUAUCACGAAGAACUCCGAUUGCGAAGGCAGUUCACUGGACUGCAACUGACACUGAGGCUCGAAAGUGUGGGUAUCAAACAGGAUUAGAUACCCUGGUAGUC